Molecule: long non-coding RNA, 633 nt
Filed under: Gigantopelta aegis
Lineage: Eukaryota; Metazoa; Mollusca; Gastropoda; Neomphalida; Peltospiridae
Description: uncharacterized LOC121384788
Source: RNAcentral
CUUCACAGCAGGGACACAUUUUGAUAAAAUUAAACGAAAUGUGUAGUCUCUGUGCGUCUAUGGAGAAACCUGAAAUGGAAACGGAGUGGGAGAGUACACGUGGUUAUGAGACAACUUUCAGUAGAUUCAAUUAUACUUCAAGCUUGAUGCUGUUAUGUUUUCUGUUUCCAACUGUGACAGAACCUGGAACAGAAAUGAAGUGUGUGACAAUAAUUCAUAGACAAAUUUAGACUAAUACUCUUUCAUGGAUGCUAAUUUUGGUAGAUCUAGCCAUAAAUGUUUUAUUAUAAUUCAAAGUGGUAUAUAGUUAUAUUUAUAAUAAUUCAUGGUUUGAAUUUGUUUUUAUAAAGCACUUUAUUGAACUAAAAUAAUCAUAGCUGCAUUUAGUAAAUUAUUUAGCACACAUGUGUGACUGCUGUCUCAUGCCUUAAGUGUUUCAGCUGCUAAAAUAUGUUUUGGGGAUAUUUUUUCUGGAUAGAAAUUGACUUUUCUGAUAUUGUACGAGUGUUUGGACAUUCCUUUCAAAGGUGAAAUAUGGCUACUUAUAUUGCUUUGUUUCUAAUAAUGAUAUUGAAGGUGUAAAGUAUGUAAAUAUUUUUGUAAGAAAUUGAUUAAACAUAUUGGCCAAUCAUU